AUGGAAAUAGGUAGGCGUGAAGUCGACGCAGCGGCUGGAGAUCACUGCGCCAGCGGGCUGGGUGAGAUCGAGGACGAGAGCACCUCGGCAUGGUCCACAACAAUGGUGAGAACACCAACAACAGUGACGAGGAUGGCAUUCCAUAGCUCGCACGACGUGGACUCCUGGUUGCUGCGUGCGCCACCACCAAGGCUGCGAGGAGGAGAGAUGGAACCGGCACAGGCGCGAGAGAGGCCAUGGGGGCCGGGCGAUGGGGACUCCAGCGACCUCGGCUACACGGUUUGGAAACCACACGAGGGGGUGAUUGUUAUUGUUAGAAUAAAUUCGAGGCACUCCGUUGAUCAUCCGAGGACCAAGCAAUCACACGAGCACGACACCGAGAUUUGUUAA
This 390-nucleotide ribosomal RNA is filed under the name Triticum aestivum (bread wheat). RNAcentral's name for it is "partial small subunit ribosomal RNA". Lineage: Eukaryota; Viridiplantae; Streptophyta; Magnoliopsida; Poales; Poaceae. The record is from RNAcentral.